This is a transfer RNA of Nematocida parisii ERTm3, 84 nucleotides long. It matches the Rfam family "tRNA". Rfam says of the family: Transfer RNA (tRNA) molecules are approximately 80 nucleotides in length. Their secondary structure includes four short double-helical elements and three loops (D, anti-codon, and T loops). Further hydrogen bonds mediate the characteristic L-shaped molecular structure. tRNAs have two regions of fundamental functional importance: the anti-codon, which is responsible for specific mRNA codon recognition, and the 3' end, to which the tRNAs corresponding amino acid is attached (by aminoacyl-tRNA synthetases). tRNAs cope with the degeneracy of the genetic code in two manners: having more than one tRNA (with a specific anti-codon) for a particular amino acid; and 'wobble' base-pairing, i.e. permitting non-standard base-pairing at the 3rd anti-codon position. Lineage: Eukaryota; Fungi; Microsporidia. The record is from Rfam.
GGCAAGGUGGCCGAGCGGUCCAAGGCGCUAGGUUUAGGUCCUAGUCUUCGUAUGAAGGCGGGGGUUCGAAUCCCCCCCUUGUCA